Molecule: ribosomal RNA, 460 nt
Filed under: uncultured bacterium
Lineage: Bacteria
Description: partial 16S ribosomal RNA
Rfam family: Bacterial small subunit ribosomal RNA
Source: RNAcentral
CCUACGGGUGGCUGCAGUGAGGAAUAUUGGUCAAUGGACGAGAGUCUGAACCAGCCAAGUAGCGUGAAGGAUGAAGGCCCUAUGGGUUGUAAACUUCAUUUAUAUGGGAAUAAAAUGUUCCACGUGUGGGAUUUUGUAUGUACCAUAUGAAUAAGGAUCGGCUAACUCCGUGCCAGCAGCCGCGGUAAUACGGAGGAACCGAGCGUUAUCCGGAUUUAGUGGGUUUAAAGGGAGCGUAGGGGGUUUGUUAAGUCCGUUGUGAAGGUUUGCGGCUCAACCGUACAAUUGCAGUUGAAACUGGCAGUCUGGAGUGCAGUAGAGGUGAGUGGAAUUCGUGGUGUAGCGGUGAAAUGCUUAUAUAUCACGAAGAACUCCGAUUGCGAAGGCAGCUCACUGGACUGCAACUGACACUGAGGCUCGAAAGUGUGGGUAUCAAACAGGAUUAGAUACCCUAGUAGUC